GCGUCCGAUUAGGUAGUUGGAGGGGUAACGGCCCACCAAGCUUAUGAUCGGUAGCCGACGUGAGAGGGUGAUCGGCCACAUUGGAACUGAGAUACGGUCAAAACUCCUACGGGAGGCAGCAGUGGGGAAUACUGGGCAAUGGGGGAAACCCUGACCCAGCAACGCCGCGUGAAGGAAGAAGGUUUUCGGAUUGUAAACUUCUGUCCUUGGUGAAGAGAAGAAGACGGUAGCCGAGGAGGAAGCCCCGGCUAACUACGUGCCAGCAGCCGCGGUAAUACGUAGGGGGCAAGCGUUGUCCGGAAUGAUUGGGCGUAAAGGGCGCGUAGGCGGCUUUAUAAGUCUGGAGUGAAAGUCCUCUUUUCAAGGGAGGAAUUGCUUUGGAAACUAUAGAGCUUGAGUGCAGGAGAGGUUAUCGGAAUUCCCGGUGUAGCGGUGAAAUGCGUAGAUAUCGGGAGGAACAUCGGUGGCGAAGGCGGGUAACUGGACUGCAACUGACGCUGAGGCGCGAAAGUGUGGGGAGCAAACAGGAUUAGAUACCCUGGUAGUCCACACGGUAAACGAUGAAUGCUAGGUGUAGGAGGUAUCGACCCCUUCUGUGCCGCAGUUAACACAAUAA
Molecule: ribosomal RNA, 616 nt
Filed under: uncultured bacterium
Lineage: Bacteria
Description: bacterial SSU rRNA
Rfam family: Bacterial small subunit ribosomal RNA
Source: RNAcentral